UUGUGUGGGAGUCUAAGUCUCUUUGAAGGUCUCCAAUAACUUGCUUUAUGGACCUGGGUGCUCUUGUAUAGGGUGCAUAUAUAUUUAGGAUAGUUAACUCUUCUGGUUGAAUUGAACCCUUUACCAACAGGUAGUGCUCUUCUUUCUCUUUUUUGAUCUUUGUUAAUUUAAAGUCUGUUUUGUUAGAAACUAGGAUUGCAAGCUCUGUUUUUUUCUGCUUUCUGUUUGCUUGGUAAAUUUUCCUCCAUCCCUUUAUUUUUAGCCUAUGUGUUUCUUUGUGUGUGAGAUGGGUCUCUUGAAUACAGCAUACUGAUGGGUCUUGGUUCUUUAUCUAGCUUGCCAUUCUGUGUCUUUCAUUGGAGAACACAUUGAGAUUUAAGAGUUUGGAGAAUCUGAUGAUUAUGUGUCUCGGGGAUGAUCUCCUCGUGGAGUAUCUCACUGGAGUUCUCUGGAUUUCUUGAAUUUGAGUGUUGGCCUGUCUUGCUAGAACUAACUUGGGGAAGUUAGUUCUCUUGGAUCCUAUGCUGAAAAAGAUCGUCUUCAAGCUCUGAGAUUCUUUUCUUGGCCUAUUCUGCUGUUAGUAAUUGUGAUUUCAUUGUGAAGUUCUUGUAGUGUGUUUUUCAGCUCUAACAGUCUGGCCACUCUUCUGCAGGGCUGCUGCAGUUUGCUGGGGGUUCGCACUAUACCCUAGUUGCCUCGGUUUUUCCCAUAGCUGGAGGUAUCAUCAGUGAAGUCUGUGAAACAGCAAAGAUGGCUGCCUGCCACUUCCUCUGGAAGCUCCAUCCCAGCAGGGUAAAUAUAAAUGUAGGUGCAUAAUAUAGACUUUUUCUGAAUGGUUUAUAAGUUGCAGUGCUGGGAUUACAAGCGUGAGCUACCACACCCAGCGAGGAAGCCAAGUUUAACGUGUGUGCUCCACUCCUCCAACCUGGCCAAAGGGCAGUCAUCAUCACUGGCCACUACUGACCACAGCCUUUAGAAACUCCCCUUGAACGUGCUGGGCUGACCUUCCUCUGAUCACAGGCAAGGCAAAGGAAAAUGACAGGCCCUUGCCUUCCCGGUCCUCAAGGGUCAGCUGUAAGAUGAUGUCAUAAAGCCGGAUCAGGUCCUGGGGCCGGGGGAAGCACUUGCUGUCAUCCUCUGGCUGCUGCUGCAGCAGAGCCCUCUGCAGACCUUUGGCCAUGCUCUCAUUACGCUUGAUUGCCAUUGACAGCUUGAUGUAAGUCAGGUUGUAGAUGAGCAUGAGAGUGUGGAGCAGAGUUGGCGAGUGCAAGUCGAGCCCAUCAACCUGGACAGCUGUCUCCGUGCUUUCACCAGUGAGGAAGAGCUAGGGGAAGAUGAGAUGUACUACUGUUCCAAGUGUAAGACCCACUGCUUAGCAACAAAGAAGCUGGAUCUCUGGAGGCUUCCACCCUUCCUGAUUAUUCACCUUAAGUGAUUUCAAUUUGUAAAUGAUCAGUGGAUAAAAUCACAGAAAAUUGUCAAAUUUCCUCGGGAAAGUUUUGAUCCGAGUGCUUUUUUGGUACCACGAGACCCAGCUCUCUGCCAGCAUCAACCACUCACACCCCAGGGGGAUGAGCUCUCCAAGCCCAGGAUUCUGGCAAGAGAGGUGAAGAAAGUGGAUGUGCAGAGUUUGGCUGGGGAAGAGGACAUGCUCCUGAGCAAAAGCCCAUCCUCACUCAGCGCUAACAUCAGCAGCAGCCCAAAAGGUUCUCCUUCUUCAUCAAGAAAAAGUGGAACCAGCUGUCCCUCCAGCAAAAACAGCAGCCCUAAUAGCAGCCCACGGACUUUGGGGAGGAGCAAAGGGAGGCUCCGGCUGCCCCAGAUUGGCAGCAAAAAUAAACUGUCAAGUAGUAAGAAGAACUUGGAUGCCAGCAAAGAGAAUGGGGCUGGGCAGAUCUGUGAGCUGGCUGACGCCUUGAGCCGAGGGCAUAUGCGGUGGGGGCAGCCAACCAGAGCUGGUCACUCCUCAGGACCACGAGGUAGCUUUGGCCAAUGGAUUCCUUUAUGAGCAUGAAGCAUGUGGCAAUGGCUACAGCAAUGGUCAGCUUGGAAACCACAGUGAAGAAGACAGCACUGAUGACCAAAGAGAAGACACUCAUAUUAAGCCUAUUUAUAAUCUAUAUGCAAUUUCAUGCCAUUCAGGAAUUCUGAGUGGGGGCCGUUACGUCACUUAUGCGAAAAACCCAAACUGCAAGUGGUACUGCUACAAUGGCAGCAUCUGUGAGGAACGUCACCCUGAUGAAAUUGACACCGACUCUGCCUACAUUCUUUUCUAUGAGCAGCAGAGGAUAGACUACGCACAAUUUCUGCCAAAGAUUGAUGGCAAAAAGAUGGCAGACACAAGCAGUAUGGAUGAAGACUUUGAGUCUGAUUACAAAAAGUACUGUGUGUUACAGUAAAGCUACCACUCUGGCUGCUAGACAGCUUGGUUGGGAGGAAGAUGACUCCUUGUAGCUGAUACUUGGCAAAAGUGUCACUGAGAGGCAAGCUAAAUGUAGUUAUUUUAUCCUGUUAGAAUACAAAUUCUAAUUAAAAUAGUUAACUUUAAGAGUAGCAGUAAUUUUAUUUUGAAGUCUCAUGCAAGUUGUCCGAUAGAGAACUUUCAGGCAGAUCCCACCAUUAGCCUGUAAACAAAAGGUUUGGCACCAGCCACCUGGGACCAAAUAAGAAUUCAAUUGUGCUUGUCCAGAUAUGAACAAAUAUGUAGUGAGUAUAGAGUUUAUCAAUAAUCAUAACAAAUAUUAAAGAUUUCCUUGGAGUCAAAGUAAAAAACAAAAAAUUGUAAUGUUGUCUAGGGAUGACAUGAUAUGCUACCUCCUUUUUCCUGAAGUUUUAUUCCAUUCUGUUGACAAGAUGGUGAAAGCAAGAUCAUGAAGGUGUGCAAAUGAUUCUUACGGCAUGGGCGAGGAUUUUUCAAUUUAUUUUUUAAAGUUUCCAUACCCUUUCUUUGUCUUUCUUGCUUUUUGUUUUUGCCGUUGUGUUUAAGUUUGAGACACAACCAGUCAUUGGUGGCAGGGGCAUAGAGUGGUCAGUCUGAAAGGGAGGCUCUCUUAAGAGCUAUGUGCCUUCUACUCAGAGGGAGACCCAGUAGAAAGAAAAACAUCCUGGGAAAUCCAGCUACCAUGGCCCUCCCAGUGGAGGCAUCUUACAUUUAGGAUACUUCAGGUAUCCUCAGAAAUGUAUUCUGCACCCCCGGCCCCGCCCAUGCUGAGGGAAGGGGAGCAGUUGCCAAUAUUUGCACCAUCUUCACAUGCACAUGUUGCAACAAGAGCUUCUGGGAAGGUAAGCGGCAUCGGAGCUAGAUCACGUUUCACAAUUAGUGGUGGUUCUUUUCCAUGUUUAUUUUGCACUUUAAAAAAGAGAGAACACAUGCAAAUGAACUUGCUUGUGUGUAUUUGAUGGCUCCAAGGGCUAUGAAUUACAAACAAAACACAUCCCAGACAUUAGGAGUUCAUAAGUAUAUUUAAUGAAAUUGGUGGUUUUAGGAAGUCAACUUUAGUUUUGCUUUGUUUGCAUGUCCACUAAUUUUUUUAUUUUGAUAUUAGUCUUUUUAAAAAAAUUUUACAGUAGUCAUUGAAAGUUAUGUUUCUUUGUUUACUUCAUUUUUUCCUCUAAUUAUUCAAGACUGGGACAAAAGUAUAAAUAUUAUUUAUUUCAGGUAGAAUUUUUUUCAUGUAGUUUUUUAAUAUAUACUUGAAGGAAAUGUUUCACCUUAUUUUUGGUCUUUGUUUAUUCAUUUAGACCCUGCAAGUUGAUUCUCAUUAAUUGUCAGAUUCCACUACACUUUCUUCCUCAUAGGUAGUAAUUACCAGUGUAACUAAGCAUUUGUGUUCUGAUAUCUGAGGCCAGUAACUAUUAAUAUCUAGUUCUCAGAGCAUUUGGAAAGGUUAUCUUAAAUGGCUACCUAAAUUGAAAUCCUUUUCAGAAAAAAUAUAAUUGCAAAUAGGUAGGAGUGGCCUAAAUUAUCUAAUGUAAUAAAGUCAGACAAAAUGCAUACUUUAUAGUUUCAAGAUUUUCAGUAUAUAAAAUCUGUCCUUUCCUACCUGGACAUGUCCCAUUAAAAAGUGGAAGAUCUUAAAUAAUUUCUUUACAGAUGUUUUAUUUAAGCAGGUAGCACAAUCUACUAAUGUUGUUUGAUCUGUGUUUGUUAUACUGGUUGUAAUUAAUUUUUUUAAUUCAUGAACUAGCGGAAAAUUUAUUAAAUUAACUAUUAACCACAUUCACCUUGUAAAUGACUGUAUAAAACUUGUUGACAAUGCACUGACUUUAGAAAGAUGUUAAUGUGCAUAAAUAGAGUGUAAAUAAAAUAGUGUUGAUGUACUGAAAUAUGAACUGUAUAAAAAGUAUUGGUAAUUGUAUAUGGGGUGUACCUAUUUAUCUGUAACUGUUAUCCAAACAAAUUAAAUACUGUGGAUGCCUCUAUGUACUGUUUUUCCUCAUACAAGUAAACACAGAA
Homo sapiens (human) is the source of this 4456-nucleotide RNA transcript. It is a transcript of the gene named ubiquitin specific peptidase 32 pseudogene 3, with no coding region annotated. The record is from RefSeq and is marked validated. Lineage: Eukaryota; Metazoa; Chordata; Mammalia; Primates; Hominidae. The transcript has 12 exons.